Otolemur garnettii (small-eared galago) is the source of this 1473-nucleotide long non-coding RNA. RefSeq lists it as uncharacterized. Lineage: Eukaryota; Metazoa; Chordata; Mammalia; Primates; Galagidae. The transcript has 3 exons. The record is from RefSeq and is a predicted model, not a curated record.
UGUCUUUCUACAUGGUGGCUUCAGGGCCACAGGAGGGCAAGAAUAGAAGCUGUGCAACCUGAAAGGCCUCAUGUAACUGAGGCUCAGGAAUCCUACAGUCACUUCUACUCAGUCGAACAAGACCAGACUAGGUUGAAGGGAAGAGAUAAAUAAACUGCUUCCUGACAGGAAGAAUGGCAGAGUCACGUUGCAAGGAGACCAGCCCACAGAAUGGGAGAGAUUCUUGUGACCAUCUUUGCAAACAAAUCAUAGAAUAUAUAAAGAGAAGAAAGUGGAAAACUAAGUGAAAACGAUCAGCAAUUUAAUGGCCAUGAAAGACUGAAUUAAAAUCUUUCAAAACUGCAUUUGCUAUACGUGCGGAAAAAUUUGUAACUAGGAAGAAAGGACAAGUGAAACACACACACAACAUGAAUUUCCAAAGAUAUUUUCCUUAAAUGCCUGGAACGCCUUUUAAAGAGGUUGGGCUACCAUGUUGAGGGCAGAGAGAGAAAUGCUCAGCUACACUCCAGCUGUUCCAGCCUUUCAGCUGAGAGUCCAGACCUGUUGGUGAAGCCAUCAUGGAUUUCCAGCUCUACUCAAGCCUCUGGAGAACUACAGCUACAGGACUGAUCCCAAGUAAUGCCUGCAGAAGGAUCACCCAGCUGAGCCCAGCCUCGAUGGCAGAAUCAAAAUUUUGAAUCAAUUUGUAUGCUGAGUGGAACAAUCCAAUGGGGAGAUAAAAAGAGCAAUACAGAUCACUGAAACAGUGAAAAAUGGAAGAAGCAUCCAGAGGAAGAAAAAUAUGAAAUCAUUAUUUAGCAAAGAAGUUACUAAAAUACUCCACUAAGAAAAUAACAGAACUUAGACAACAAUGCUGAAAUAGAGAGCAAUAAGAAAUAUUUGUCAGGUGGUGUCAUUAGGAAUUUGUAACGGAUUCAAUCUGGAGGUAAAGGCAGGAGAAAUAAUAAUGUUCAAGUUUUCAACUUAUCCAACUAAGUGGAAAUCAUAUCAUUCCCUGGACUGGAGCAAGGAAGCAUAUUAGUCCAGUUUGGAAAAUCUUAAAUUCUAGGUACAUUUUUAAAAUUAGCACUAUUAUAACUGGUAGCUAGGACAUAAAAAAAUUACUUACAAUUGACUGAAUUUGAGUAUGAUAAGUGUUUAAGCCCUGACACAAUGAUAUAGCUAUUAUUUCCUGAGAGAAGAAUUUGGAUUCUUUUGCAGGAAUUAGUUACUUCUCCUUGGGGAAAAUUCAGGAAGCAAAUAAGGUAAAUCAAGGAAUUUAGUAAUAUCCUUGAUUCAUUUGGCCCAUAUAUUUUUCAUUUGAUCUGCCCCAAACACACAUAGAGCAUCAUAAUAUUUAGAUGAAAAUCUCUGUUCUGCUCUUCACAUUAUUCCUUUGUAAAUGCAUCUUGUUUUCUUUCCAGCCAGAGAAUUAGCAGCACAGUUACCCCUGGGUAGUGCCAGUAUAUCUCCCCUGCGGUUUUGUCCAUGUAC